This 77-nucleotide transfer RNA is filed under the name Candidatus Adiutrix sp. Its description in RNAcentral is "tRNA-Arg". It matches the Rfam family "tRNA". From Rfam's summary of the family: Transfer RNA (tRNA) molecules are approximately 80 nucleotides in length. Lineage: Bacteria; Pseudomonadati; Thermodesulfobacteriota; Desulfarculia; Candidatus Adiutricales; Candidatus Adiutricaceae. The record is from RNAcentral.
GGGCGAUUAGCUCAGCUGGAUAGAGCGUCAGCCUCCGGAGCUGAAGGCCGCGCGUUCGAAUCGCGCAUCGCCCACCA